RNAcentral lists this ribosomal RNA (205 nucleotides) under uncultured bacterium. RNAcentral describes it as "partial 16S ribosomal RNA". It matches the Rfam family "Bacterial small subunit ribosomal RNA", at positions 1296 to 1500 of the family's 1533-position model. The record is from RNAcentral.
GAUUGCAGUCUGCAACUCGACUGCAUGAAGCUGGAAUCGCUAGUAAUCGCGGAUCAGAAUGCCGCGGUGAAUACGUUCCCGGGUCUUGUACACACCGCCCGUCACACCAUGGGAGUCGGAUAUGCCCGAAGUCAGUGACCCAACCGCAAGGAGGGAGCUGCCGAAGGUGGAGCCGAUGACUGGGGUGAAGUCGUAACAAGGUAUC